AUGUUGCCCAGCUUAACAUGGAGCCUGGUUGAAACCUUGUUUCUAAACAGACUGUACUGCAUCAUCACCAGUGGCUCCUUUAAGGGAAAAGGGUGUCACAAUAGGAAAGAUGACAUCCAGGUGCAGACUGCAUGGAUGGUCACAGUGACUAAUAAAAUAUUCAGCAGUUGCUGCUGUGGCCUCAGCAAGGACGUGCAGCAGAGCCAGCUGAUGCCUGAGUGUGAGGAAGUGCACCGGGAUUCGUGGUUUCUGUCAUGUCCCGCAGUGAUGGCUUCAAAAGAAGGUGAAAGAAAGAGACCUAAGGCACUCCACCAGAGGCUCCAACUCCCUAAUGUCCUUCUUUGGAUAAUUUCAUUCAACAAGUUGCAAAUUCACCUAGCCAUCUUCUCAUUCGGCCUAUUUUCUCAUCUCGUACGAGCACUUGAACACGCCAGGGCUCUGACCUCCCGGACACGAAAAAAUAAACAAGAAAAAAAGAGAAAAGAAAUGAGCAGGCGACGUUUCCAGCCCCCACUGCUCCUCGGGCAGUCAGGUAAAGCCUUGCAACCGAGGCAGAAGGGCUCCGUGAGCAGGUUCCCCGUCCAGGUUGUUACAACGAGAGCAGGGUCCCCGCAGAAGGUCGCUCGCUCGCCUGCUCUCGGCACCCACGAUGGAGGCCUUCAGUGACUGUUGAGCCCAGGUACAGAGUGUCGAGCUCCCCGCACCCUCGGCCCUGCCGUCUCCUAGCUGAUCCUCAGCUCCCCACACCCUCGGCCCUGCUGUCUGUCUCCUAGUUGAGGACCCCCAGACUCACUCUCUGCACCCCCAGGAAGAGCCUCCAUUCUGCUGUCAGAUCGGCUGCAGCAGGGCUGGUGUCCGGGACCUAGAGUUUCCACGAUCCACCUUCCCGCCCUGGGCCAGUGAAAACAUUUGGAGCCUCUGACUUCGUCUCCACAGGCUCAAGGCAGAGGGGAGCAGAGAUCACCCGAGCUGGCGUAGGCCAGCGACGGUGCCAGAGCUUCUCAUCAAAUGAGACCAUGAGGGUUUGGCCCGGGCACUGGGAGCUGGUCCUAACAGCCCAAGAAAGAGGUCGUCGACCGAGAAAGUCAAGUUCUCUGGGUGGUGGCUGUCUGGGCACAGUUAGCGAUGGGACUGUGCAAAACACAGCUCUGCAAAGGCGUCUCUGGGAAGUGACCUCCUGCCCCGCGGCCACGCCUCCCACUGCUCGUCCGACGUGCCCUCUGGCCCCCCCCCGAGCCCCGAAGCCCAGACCCUGGGCACCUGGCAGCAGGGGAAUGAGACCCCGCCCG
RNAcentral lists this long non-coding RNA (1289 nucleotides) under Felis catus (domestic cat). Its description in RNAcentral is "lncRNA (ENSFCAG00000043898.2)". The record is from RNAcentral. Lineage: Eukaryota; Metazoa; Chordata; Mammalia; Carnivora; Felidae.